This 496-nucleotide ribosomal RNA is filed under the name uncultured bacterium. Its description in RNAcentral is "bacterial SSU rRNA". It matches the Rfam family "Bacterial small subunit ribosomal RNA", at positions 400 to 886 of the family's 1533-position model. The record is from RNAcentral.
UGGGGGGUGAUGAAGGCCNUCGGGUUGUAAACCGCUUUUGUCAGAGACGAAAAGGGACGUACGAAUAAUACGUUCCGCUGACGGUAUCUGAAGAAUAAGCACCGGCUAACUACGUGCCAGCAGCCGCGGUAAUACGUAGGGUGCAAGCGUUAAUCGGAAUUACUGGGCGUAAAGCGCGCGUAGGCGGCUUGAUUCAAGUCGGAUGUGAAAUCCCGGGCUUAACCUGGGUUCUGCAUUCGAAACUGUCUUGCUAGAGUAUGGGAGAGGGAAGUGGAAUUUCAGGUGUAGCGGUGAAAUGCGUAGAUGUCUGAAGGAACAUCAGUGGCGAAAGCGACUUCCUGGACCAAUACUGACGCUCAGGUGCGAAAGCGUGGGGAGCAAACAGGAUUAGAUACCCUGGUAGUCCACGCCAUAAACGAUGAGAACUGGAUGUUGGGAGGAUUAGCCUCUCGGUGUCGUAGCUAACGCGUUAAGUUCUCCGCCUGGGGAGUACGGC